AGUGAACGCUGGCGGUAGGCCUAACACAUGCAAGUCGAACGGCAGCACAGUAAGAGCUUGCUCUUACGGGUGGCGAGUGGCGGACGGGUGAGGAAUACAUCGGAAUCUACUUUUUCGUGGGGGAUAACGUAGGGAAACUUACGCUAAUACCGCAUACGACCUACGGGUGAAAGCAGGGGAUCUUCGGACCUUGCGCGAUUGAAUGAGCCGAUGUCGGAUUAGCUAGUUGGCGGGGUAAGGCCCACCAAGGCGACGAUCCGUAGCUGGUCUGAGAGGAUGAUCAGCCACACUGGAACUGAGACACGGUCCAGACUCCUACGGGAGGCAGCAGUGGGGAAUAUUGGACAAUGGGCGCAAGCCUGUUCCAGCCAUACCGCGUGGGUGAAGAAGGCCUUCGGGUUGUAAAGCCCUUUUGUUGGGAAAGAAAAGCAGCAGGUUAAUACCCCGCUGUUCUGACGGUACCCAAAGAAUAAGCACCGGCUAACUUCGUG
Molecule: ribosomal RNA, 491 nt
Filed under: uncultured bacterium
Lineage: Bacteria
Description: partial 16S ribosomal RNA
Rfam family: Bacterial small subunit ribosomal RNA
Source: RNAcentral